Molecule: small RNA, 216 nt
Filed under: Arabidopsis thaliana (thale cress)
Lineage: Eukaryota; Viridiplantae; Streptophyta; Magnoliopsida; Brassicales; Brassicaceae
Description: ATSL044520
Source: RNAcentral
AAAACUAUAAAAUAAAAUAACAGCGGAGGGAGACAUUCAAUGGCAUGUUUACAUGGAACAGAGAAUUCACCUUGAGCGCUUGUAUCUGAAGCCGUUAAAACCUUUGUAAAGGAAUUAACUAUUGGCCUAAAUUGAUUUUCAUUCUCAGUAGGGAUUACAACUUGCUAAAAAUUUAACAAAAUCAGAAAAUCAAUGCGAUAUAAUAGUAGUAAAAUA